UGAUAUAUGCUUGUGUCAAGGACUAAGCCAUGCAAAUGUGAGAAAAACGUUGGAAAUGUGAUUCAGUGGAUGGCUUAAUAAAAAAGGGAAAAGAGGAGGAGAGAAAAGUAGUAACGGAUAACAAUGGGAAAACUAUUGAUAAGACGAGAAGAGAGAGAACGUGAAGGAGGAAAGAAUCAGAGUUAUGAAAGGGCGGAGAAGGUCCAGCUCUCCACACUUCCUUUAUCCAUCAGAAAGAAUUAUGUGUAGGGGACAUAAUUUUCAGUGACGGAUACGGAGAAUAAGGGUUUGAUUCCGAAGAUGGAGCAUGAGAGAUGGCUACAGAUUCUAAGGGAUGCAGCAGGCGCGAAAAUUAUCCAAUGAGCAAGAGCUCGAGAUAGUGACAAUACAUAACAAUAGGGGGUGGUGAAGAACCGCGUUCUAAUUGGAAUGAGAACGAAGAAAAGAGAUUAACGAGAAACAAGU
RNAcentral lists this ribosomal RNA (465 nucleotides) under uncultured eukaryote. RNAcentral's name for it is "bacterial SSU rRNA". It matches the Rfam family "Eukaryotic small subunit ribosomal RNA", at positions 25 to 549 of the family's 1831-position model. The record is from RNAcentral.